ACAAAAGUGAGGAGGCAGUUUAAAUAAGGUUGUCUCUUCAUGGGAAAGAACUUGAGGUAUAUCAAAAUCAAAGGCCGAGAAAUCGUUUUAGUCGUCAUUUUUCCCAUUGGCGGUCUGAUUGUUGCUCGUCCACAC
RNAcentral lists this small nucleolar RNA (135 nucleotides) under Corchorus capsularis. Its description in RNAcentral is "snoRNA snoR111". It matches the Rfam family "Small nucleolar RNA snoR111". Lineage: Eukaryota; Viridiplantae; Streptophyta; Magnoliopsida; Malvales; Malvaceae. The record is from Rfam by way of RNAcentral.